This is a long non-coding RNA of Ailuropoda melanoleuca (giant panda), 2954 nucleotides long. RefSeq lists it as uncharacterized. The transcript has 4 exons. The record is from RefSeq and is a predicted model, not a curated record. NCBI's taxonomy places the organism in Eukaryota, Metazoa, Chordata, Mammalia, Carnivora, Ursidae.
UGGGCCGGGGCGGGGAGAGCCAUUUGCGACCUGCAGCUGCUGCGCGCCACCAGCGCCAGCGCCGGCCGGGGCCUUCUCCAAGCCGCUGGCGAAACCGAACCGGGCGCCAGGGGGCCCGGCGCCGAUAGAGGGCUCCUCCUCUGAGAAAUGAAGAUAAUGCUGAUCCCAAGAGGCGGGCUGUGUGGUUCAGCUGGCUCAUGAGGAGUGCUUGUUGAGCACGCACGAUGCCUGGUACCCGGUGAGGAAUCCCUGGGCACUCUCAUUGCGUCUGGGACUCCAGUCGGGUCUGUGGGGCUUCUCUGGCUGGUUUCUGAGCAUCCCUGGAGAGACACAGACUCCUAAAAGUAGGUGGAGUAGAAGGCUGGCUUUUCAUGAGAUCCGAAAGUUCUGAUGAUUGGGCAGCAUGGGGACAAUAACAUCGAUCAAUGCUGCUUCUGUGACCUACAGAUUCCAUGGUGCCUGGAAUUCUGCUAUUAGAGAUUCAUUUAAAUGCCACCCUGUUUCCGGCAGUUCCCUCAGUUUAAACGCACGUGCUCCUCAGUGUGACAGUGUGAUGAAGUAGUCCAGAUGAAGAACAAAGCUUGGUGUAAUCCAGCGUGCGAAACGCCUCACCUCCUGGAAGUCUGCGCUUUUUGGCAGAGCUGGAGGAAGAGGCUCUGAAGAGAGAGCACAGGCAGGUGCAGAGACGGAAAGUGGCAUAAACACCUAUAUCAUAUCAGCCUGGGAGCUCCGUGUCUGGGGUUUAACUGGGCAAUGACUGUGGAUGUGGACCAAAACAACUUCUGUGCCUUUUUAAUGCAGAGUUGUCCAUUGACCCCAGACUAAAUGAGAAUUUGGGGAAAGUGGAUUUGAGACUUAGAACAAUGGACUACUGAUGCCUAGACCCGACAUUCAAUCCACGUAGGGUUGUCCCCCGGUCACAUUUGGCAAGGUCUGGGGAAAUUUUUUGCCUUGACUGGUGGGAGAGGUGGCAGGGUCUACCAGCAUUUUGUGGUUAGAGGCCAGAUAUACUGCUACACAUGCUACACUUGCUCAGGGCAGCCCCCUCACCACAGAGAUGAUCUGGUCCAAAAGAGUAAUAGUGCUGAUGCUGAGAACCCCGUGAAUACGUCUGGAGCUGCACCUGUAUGGCUAGAAGUGCUGUGGGCGUUGCCAGGAAGGGAUUCAUCCUGAGCCUAAGUCCCAGGGGCGCCCUCCAGUGGCCAUUGUGAAUCUCAGGAGCCUAAGUCCAACGGGUGUCCCCAGGUCUCAGUCCUUUACCCACUGUCUGCUCAACCGCCAGUGGAAGAGCCGCAAGGGGUGUCCUACCCUGGACAGGUACUGUCCCCUCCCCCAUGCACACAAAUUUAUGUGACAGCAUGGAGCAUGAGGCUCCUUUAAUCCCCCAGUUUGUUAACUUUAUGGGAGCAGCUUUGUGUGGCUAGAGAAAGAUACAAAUUUUCCCUUUCCUGAAGACGAAGCAUCACAACCAGGGAACUCUUUCUCUUUUGUGCCAACUAAAUAUACCAAGUCAGUGUGGGGACUUGUACUCCCCAAACCAGAAGAGUGGUACCUUCAUUGCUCUCCUAGGAAUGUUAAUGAGCUUAGCAACAACAGCAACCUCCUUCUGGGGUCUGUGAAACCAAUGAACCUCCUUUCUUGCCAGUACAUCUCUAUGACAUCCUCUUGAAAUUGACCCUCCAUUCUCAAAACAACGAAGGGACAGCAUUAGAGCUUUUCUUUCUUAUUUCCAUGGUUUUUAGGCUCUUAGAUAAUGGCUUUGAUACUUAUGUGAAGUCUGUAUAAAACGCCAAAAUUAUUGGGAAAGUGUAAGCCUGAGACUCAUGCUCGGUUCUUUUCCGACUGAUGUCGGGUGAAGCUGUUUGCUCUCCCAGUACCCAGACCAUGUCCAAAUAUGCCAAGCUAGGCUUCUGGCGGACGUGAUCAAACCACUCAGCCUGCUAGAAUGAGGGAGGCAGGGUGUCGUGCUUCCCAGCCUCUAGAGGGCUGAUUGUUUCAUUCAAGUGACUAAUAAAACACCCAUGCAACAGCAGUUGAACUGUCCAGCCACGGACCUUGGCUUCCCGUGUCUCAUAUCAGCUGCCGCGUUCUACUGUGCUGGGGGUUGUGAAGAGGUCUGGUGAACGGUUUGCCAACCUGUGGGAAACUCGGAAUCCAACAACUUAGAAUUCUUCAAAGAUUUUAUGUUCAAAGUCAGCUUUAAAAAAUAAUGACCAAAGUGGUUCCUUCAUCCCACCAGUAACUUGACCGCUGACACUUCUGAGGAAACCAAAGAAUGAAGCACUGUUCACUACCUUGUCAAGUAUAAAUCACGGUGGCUUCUGGAGACUUGACAUGUGGGAGGAAGAGGUCCGCACUAUGGCUAGUUUCAAAGCAUUUACUUAUUUUUUUUCAAGGUAAAAUAUGUUACUCAAACAUCAACUCAGCAUGAAUCUCUAGUUAUAAGAGCAAAUUCACUCUUCCCACGAGAAUGUUCAGCGGCCCCGUCAGCCAUGCUGUGUAACAUCCUGGGAUGUCGCCAAACGUUUUUUUUCUGAUGGCAGCAGGUAGCGAGGAAUAUCUCAAGUGCUCCAGGGAUCAAAGGCUAAUAAGGGAGAAUUUGGAUAGUCAUCUUAAAAGUUAAUAAACCUAACCGAUAGCUCUGAUCACUAGAAAAAUAAUCUCUCCAAUUUCUCAGAAACAAAACGUCCGAAAGGGCUGUCGUUAGACUUAGGAUCCUGAAAUGGGAUGUGCCACUUGAGGGCGCCAUCAGGUUUCAAGAAAAGAACUUCCUGCUACGUUGAGUGCUGCCUUUGGACGCAAUCUUUGUCCAACGAGUUCUAUGAAAUAAAACUGAGUUUAGGUCUCACUUCUAGGAAACGGAAGGGAGACUGUAAUCUAGUCUUUUUAGACUCAAGUGGGAUUAACCAGGAUUCAGUUGACAAGUUCUAAAUUCCCUUUUACAAAGCUGCCUU